This 1365-nucleotide long non-coding RNA is filed under the name Malus domestica (apple). Its description in RNAcentral is "long non-coding RNA (MDOM_LNC015367)". Lineage: Eukaryota; Viridiplantae; Streptophyta; Magnoliopsida; Rosales; Rosaceae. The record is from RNAcentral.
AAGCCAACAACAACUUCAGUGCAUGGCAUAUGAAGAUCAAGCUAUUCAGCCCUCUUGCAUCUGCUUCAGACAUUUCCUCUCUAUAACAAUGCAAACACUACAAUUCUCAAAAGCUUCACACACUCUUUAUCAAGACAGUGUGAAGCAAAAUCAAUUUAUGGUGCUAACAAGAGCUUCAUCAAUAGAGGGCAACCACAAUUCUCAAAAACUUCACACACUCUUGAUCAAGACAGUGUGAAUGAAAACCAAUUUAUGGUGCCAACAAGAGCUUCAUCAAUGGAAGGCAACCACAAUUCUCAAAAGCUUCACACACUCUUGAUCAAGACAGUGUGAAGCAAAACUAAUUUAUGGUGCCAACAAAAGCUUCAUCAAUGGAGGGCAACCACAAUUCUCAAAAGCUUCACACACUCUUGAUCAAGACAGUGUGAAGCAAAACCAAUUUAUGGUGCCAACAAGAGCUUCAUCAAAGAAGUUCAACCAUAAUUUUCAAAAGCUUCACACACUCUUGAUCAAGACAGUGUGAAGCAAAACCAAUUUAUGGUGCCAACAAGAGCUUCAUCAAUGGAGUUCAACCACAAUUCUCAAAAGCUUCACACACUCUUGAUCAAGACAGUGUGAAGCAAAACCAAUUUAUGGUGCCAACAAGAGCUUCAUCAAAGAAGUUCAACCAUAAUUUUCAAAAGCUUCACACACUCUUGAUCAAGACAGUGUGAAGCAAAACCAAUUUAUGGUGCCAACAAGAGCUUCAUCAAUAGAGUUCAACCACAAUUCUCAAAAGCUUCACACACUCUUGAUCAAGACAGUGUGAAGCAAAACCAAUUUAUGGUGCCAACAAGAGCUUCAUCAAUGGAGGGCAACCACAAUUCUCAAAAGCUUCACACACUCUUGAUCAAGACAGUGUGAAGCAAAACCAAUUUAUGGUGCCACCAAAAGCUUCCUUAAAGGAGUUCAAGCAUAAUUCUCAAAAGCUUCACACACUCUUGAUCAAGACAGUGUGAAGCAAAACCAAUUUAUGGUGCCAACAAAAGCUUCAUCAAUGGAGGGCAACUACAAUUCUCAAACCUUUAAAGCAAAUUCAAGACUGUUUGAAGCAAAUUCAAUUUAUAUGGUUCAUCCAAACCUUUGACUACUACAAGGUGUGGCUUGCAUCACAAUCUCUUACUCAACAGUGUGGAAGCAAAAUUUGUAUAUGUUGUCUCUCCAACAUUUUCAAAUUUCUAGUUUCCCAAAAAAAAAAGAAAAAAAAAAGGAAAUUCAACAAAGCUUCAUCAAUGGAGGACAACUACAAAUUCUCAAAAGCUUCACAUUAUCUUGAUCAAGAUAUUGUGAAGCAAAAUCAAUUCGUGGUACCCAACAAAGCUUCAA